This 497-nucleotide ribosomal RNA is filed under the name uncultured bacterium. RNAcentral describes it as "partial 16S ribosomal RNA". It matches the Rfam family "Bacterial small subunit ribosomal RNA", at positions 28 to 507 of the family's 1533-position model. The record is from RNAcentral.
GAUGAACGCUGGCGGCGUGCCUAAUACAUGCAAGUCGAGCGAACAGACGAGGAGCUUGCUCCUCUGACGUUAGCGGCGGACGGGUGAGUAACACGUGGAUAACCUCCCUAUAAGACUGGGAUAACUUCGGGAAACCGGAGCUAAUACCGGAUAAUAUAUUGAACCGCAUGGUUCAAUAGUGAAAGACGGUUUUGCUGUCACUUCUAGAUGGAUCCGCGCCGCAUUGGCUAGUUGGUAAGGUCACGGGUUAUCAAGGCGACGAGGCGUAGCCGACCUGAGAGGGUGGUCGGCCACACUGGAACGUGACCACGGUCCAGACUCCUGCGGGAGGCAGCAGUAGGGAAUCUGCCGCAGUGGGCGAAAGCCUGACGGAGCAACGCGGCGUGAGUUAUGAAGGUCUUCGGAUCGUAAAACUCUGUUAUGAGGGAAGAACAAAUGUGUAAGUAACUAUGCACGUCUUGACGGUACCUAGUCAGAAAGCCACGGCUAACUACGUG